CACUAAAUAGGAGUCCUACUACAGUAGUAAAAGAAGUCACACCUGAAGAAGCAUGGAGUGGAGUCAAACCCUCAGUGGGGUAUUUUCGAGUGUUUGGUUGCAUUGACCAUGUACAUGUACCACAUGAGAAAAGAACAAAGCUGGAUUCAAGGAGCACAAAAUGUGUACUGUUGGGAGUCAGUGAAGAAACAAAAGGUUACAGAAUGUUUAAUCCUCUCACAAAGAAGUUGAUAAUUAGUCGUGAUGUCAUCUUUGAAGAAAAUGCAACUUGGAACUGGGCAGAAGACAACACUAGUAUACUGCUACGCUGGGGAGAUAAUGAUGACAGUAUACAUGAAGAAGAAUUAGAAGAAGAUGAGGAGCAGACACAAGAACAGAUUAGGGAAAUUGGAGAUGAAGCAGGUACUGGAGAUGCUGAAAUUGGAGAUGAAGCAGGUACUGGAGAUGCUGUUGAAGAACCUGAAGCAGAAGAACAAAAUGAGCAUAUUCAAGCUGCAGGUGUCAGAAAUCGAAGAGCACCACACUGGAUGGAGGAUUAUGUUAUGGGAGCAGGUUUGUCUGAAGAUUAUGUCAUGGGAGCAAGCUUAUCUGAAGAAGAGGAAACACAAAAUAUGGUGUUAUACACUACUACUAGAGAUCCACACACCUAUGAAGAAGCUAAAAAAAAUCACCAAUGGAGAGAAGCCAUGGACAAUGAAAUUGUUGCGAUAGAAAGGAAUGACUCAUGGGAACUAACUGUGCUGCCGAAUAAUUCAAGGAAGAUUGGGGGUGAAAUGGAUAUACAAGACAAAGCUUAAUGAAAAAGGUGAAGUUGACAAAUACAAGGCCAGACUUGUAGCAAAGGGAUAUGCACAACAACAUGGAAUUGACUACACUGAGGUAUUCGCACCAGUAGCAAGAUGGGACACAAUUCAGAUGGUUCUAGCAAUAGCAGCACAAAGAAAAUGGAAGGUGUAUUAACUGGAUGUAAAGAGUGCAUUUCUUCAUGGGAAAUUAGACGAAGAUGUAUACGUAGAGCAACCUCUCGGCUAUGAAAAAAAAAGAGAAGAACACAAAGUCCUCAAGUUGAAGAAAGCAUUAUAUGGUUUGAAGCAGGCACCAAGGGCUUGGUUUAGCAGGAUUGAAACAUAUUUCGUGAAGGAAGGUUUUGCUCGAUGUCCAAGUGAGCAUACUCUGUUUGUUAAAAUUCAAGAAGACAAGAAAAUUCUGAUAGUAUGCAUAUACGUAGAUGAUUUGGUGUUCACUGGAAGUGAUGAGGGGAUGUUUGCUGUUUUCAAAGCUUCGAUGAAACGAGAGUUUGAUAUGACUGAUUUAGGAAAAAUGAAGUUCUUCCUUGGAGUAGAAGUUGUGCAGAAUGAUGAAGGAAUUUAUCUAAGCCAAAGAAAAUAUGCACUUGAAGUACUAGAGAGGUUUGGCUUAGAAAAGGCAAAUUCAGUUCGCAAUCCAAUGAUACCAGGUAUGAAGCUGAUGAGAAAUGAAGAUGGCGAGCAAGUGGAUGUGACUCAAUACAAACAAAUGGUUGGAAGUCUCAUGUAUUUAUCAGUAAUCAGGCCAGAUCUCAUGUUUGGGAUUGGUCUGAUUAGUAGAUACAUGGAGAGACCUACAACUCUACAUAUACAGGCUAUUAAGAGAAUUUUGAGAUAUGUGAAGGGAUCUGUGAACUUGGGCAUCCAUUAUAGAAGAGAAGCUGCAAGUGAUGAAAGAUUAAUGGCCUACUCUGAUAGUGACUAUGCCGGGGAUCAAGAUGAUCGUAGGAGUACUUUGGGAUAUGUUUUUAUGCUAAGUGAAGGAGCAGUUGCUUGGAGCUCCAAGAAACAACCGGUAGUCUCUUUAUCAACAAUUGAGGCAGAAUUUAUAUCUGCAGCUCAUUGUGCGUGUCAAGCAGUAUGGAUGAGAAGAGUACUUGAAAGGAUAGAUUGCAAGUAAGGGACAUAUACUAUCAUACACUGUGAUAAUAUGUCUUCAAUUAAAUUAGCAAAGAAUCUAAUUAUGCAUGGCAGAAGCAAACAUAUAGAUGUUAGAUUUCAUUUUCUACAUGAGCUGUGCAAGGAAGGAGUAAUUGAGCUGAAGCACUGCAAUACGCAAGAUCAAAUUGCUGAUAUUAUGACAAAAGCUUUGAAGAUGGAUGCAUUUGAGAAACUAAGAAGCUUACUGGGUGUUUGUGAGGUACCAAACGAAUAAACUGCUUACUGACAGCAAUGCAGUUUAAGGGAGGGAUUGUUAGGACUAAGUCAGUCAAUAAUAUCCUAGCUAAUAGGAUCAAAGGAUUAGAUUUGAUUUAUUCUUUGUUUGUUAACCACGUUUGUAGGAGAGUCAAACGUGGGUUGCUUAUUUUUCUGAUUUCUGUUGUAAUGGUUUGAUUAUAUAAACCAGCUUCCAUUCAAUAAAGUAGAAUGAUCUUUCUCUUCAUUGUGAACUGCUAACCAAUUACUUAGAAACAACAGUUUGUUCAUGCCAUGGCCGAUGGGGUAACCAUGGCUGACAUCCUCCAGCCAGUUUAUGUUCCUCCAAUUGUCCACUCUUUCUUUCCAUUGAAUGGGGUCUUAAACUACGGGGCUACUGAUGUCUCCAAGCCAUUGCAUGCCUGCAGUUCAAGUCACUGAACUUGUUGGUGGCAUCUUUAAUGGCUGUUUAUACCAUGAACCAUAUAGUUGUUGAUGGCACAUCGUUUUGAAAUUUCUUCAACUCUUGGUCUGAAAUCCAUCGUGGGUUGGAUCACAUCUCCAAGCCUCCUGUUCUUGAAACGUUGGUCACUUCCCAAUCGUAGCUGCAGCUGCCUGAUCCAAAAGCAAUAAGCCGUUGCCUGCAUGCUUGAACCUUUUUUUCUCCAAAAAAAUGGGUGUUUAAUGGGUAGUUUUUCCAGGCGUAAGACACGUCAUCCACUAGUAUAUUUCCCAGUAUUUUCAGUCCUAUAAAUGCAAGGUUUGAUUUACUAUAUCCCCAAAGCUUGAUUUUUAAGUAAUUUUUACCUGAAAACAUUCAAGAAAUUUAAUAAAUCUUUUUUCAACCCAAAAUUACUCUCUAAUCACUUUAAAAACUGAAAAUCAAACCAAAUAAAAAAAACAUUACAAGCCUUAAUCUAUUAUAUAUAUAUAUAUAUAUAUAGAAAGAGUGCAAUCUACAUUUAAGAGGGAAAGUUCUUGCUCUUUUAUUUAUAUUGAUUAUUCACAUUUAGCGAAGAUUUGUUUUUAAAAAAUUCAUGUUUGCAUGACUCUCUAAAAUUCCCUACACAAGUUCGAUUUUUCUUUUCUUUCAAUUAGAUUUUUUUUUCUAUUUUCACUUUAAUCAUAUAUAUAGAGUCAGGUUGAGCAUCAUAUAUAUUGCACAAUAUUACUCUUCUUAAUGAAAAUAGGACGAGACUUGGCUAUUAUUUUCUCUAUUAACAAGCUUUAAUAACGUAAUUAUAAUGUAUGUUAAUGAUUGAAUUAUAUUUAAUCGAAUUGUCUAAAUGCAAUGAAUGUAACAUUAAAUUGACUAAAUUCUUUUCAUAAGGGUUUAUUUACUUAUUUAACCAUAAUUUUAAAACAUAAUCCAACAAUUAAUUUGGAUAAGUCUAAGGUCACGAGUCAAUUUAUUUUUUAUUUUAUAAAAAAUAAAAAAAAUAUUAUUUAAAAAUAAAAAAAACAAUAAGUUUUGAUCGAGUUUUUCUUGGGUUGACCAAGUUGCUAAUCAAGCCAGGUUUUUUAUAAGUUAUACUAAGUUAAAUCUCCUUCUAUUUAUAUUAAAACCGACCUAAUCUAGAUCUCAAGUCAUAAUUCAACCUUUUAUGGUGUGUUUAGGUGAGAGGUGUUGUGAUUUUUUUUCAAAAAUACAAUUAUUUUAAAGCACAAAUUACACCUCUAAAAACUAAAAUACAUGUUUUUAUGUGAGUCCAAAAAAAAAACUAAAGUUAUUUUCAAAUUAAACACUUUCUUAGUCUGUUUAGAUUUUAAAUUAAUGGAUUUAACACAAAAUGAGAGAGCUAAGUGGUUAUGUUUAGAUGUUUGAGAGUGAAUUUCAAUUAUUUUUUUAUUAAAAUUUGAAAUUUUUAAAAUUAUUUUUGUAGUAUUUUUUGAUUAUUUUAAUGUGUUGAUGUUAUAAAUAAAUUUUAAAAUAUAUAAAAAAUAUUUUUUUUAUUUAAAAAAAAACGUUAAAAAAUAAUCAGUUAAAUACUUUUUUAAUUUUAUGAAAUAACCCCCCUCUCUCUCUGUAUUUUCAUUAAAACCCCCCUUUAAGCUUACCAAAACCUUAGAGCUAAAAACAAGAAAGGAAAAAAGUAAAAAAAAAUGGCUCCAGCCAAGAAAGGAAAAGCGAAGGCAAACGCGGCCGUGUCAACUCAGUCAAAACCCACAGCCCCAAGUCCCCAAAACAAUUUCCCAUCUUGCAUACGUGCAGUCCCUCCUUCCUCCGUCGCCAUCACAAUCCACGCCAAACCCGGUUCCAAAUCCGCCUCCAUCACUGGUGGGUCUAUGCACACAUGCAAAAGGACUGUUUUGAUUCUUGUUUAGGUUAAAAAAUUAAACCUUUAAUGUUUUUUUUUCUUCCUGAUAUUGUAUGUAGAUUUGAGUGAUGAAGCGGUGGGAGUGCAAAUAGAUGCACCUGCUAAAGAUGGUGAAGCUAAUGCUGCUCUUCUUGAUUACAUUAGCUCUGUAAGUUUUUUUUUUUUUUUUUUAAUUUCCCUUACGUUAUAAGUUGGUUAUUCGUUUUUAAUGUUUUGUGAUAGAGGAUUAUUGGCUUAAUUUUCGAGAAUUUUACAGGCAUGUGUGAUGUUAAUCAAUGCCUGUCAAAUUUUUUGAUGUUUCGGUACUACGCAUAUGGAGAGAAAUAUUUUGAGUUGGUACAGUUUUGUCUGAAUUUUCUAGAGGAAAGGAGACUUGUAGUAUGAGGGCGGGGGACGAAAGUGGCCCUUUUUUUUCGUGGAGAGAAAUGGUAGAACGGAGUCUUACGGUUCAUCAAAUUUUACAGGCAUGUGUGAUGUUAAUCAAUGCCUGUCAAUUUUUUUGAUGUUUUGGUACUACGCAUAUGGAGAGAAAUAUUUUGAGUUGGUACAGUUUUGGCUGAAUUUUCUAGAGGAAAGGAGACUUGUAGUAUGAGGGCGGGGGAUGAAAGUGGCCUUUUUUAUUUUUAUUUUUCUGGAGAGAAACAGUAGAACGGACUCUUACGGCUCAUCAAAUUUUACAGGCAUGUGUGAUGUUAAUCAAUGCCUGUCAAUUUUUUUGAUGUUUUGGUACUACGCAUAUGGAGAGAUAUAUUUUGAGUUGGUACAGAUUUGGCUGAAUUUUCUAGAGGAAAGGAGAAUUGUAGUAUGAGGGCGGGGGAUGAAAGUGGCCUUUUUUAUAUAUUUUUGGAGAGAAACGGUAGAACAGAUUCUUACGGUUCAUGAAUUAAUUAGAGAGGGUUUUAUUUUUGUCUUUGGGCUUGCAUGCAAAAGGAAUGGUGAAUCUAUAGUCCUUAUAUUUAGCCUAUCAGUAUUUUGAUGAUGGAUUUGCUGGAUUCUAGACAUGCACAAUGAGUUGGAAAACAGCAUCAAUGUGCUUAAUGUAUUGAGUAUUUGGAAGCAGUCAAAUAUUGAUGCUUUUUUUGGGAUCAUGGCACGUGUCCUUGAGAUUAUUUUGAAAGAGGGUUAUGCUGGCACUUUGUUAACUUCUUUUGGGAGUUUUUAUUAUGAUAGUGUAUCUGGCAUUUUCCUAUUUCAUCAAGUUGGUGUAAAUAUUUGAUGCAAGUUGAGGAUUGAGUUAAUUUUGAAUGCAAAUGGUAAUAAUAAUUUUUUUACUGACCUUUUGAAACCAUGAAUUGCUAGGAAGAGUUUGAAACUGAAAGAGGAUGAAAGACUAAAUGCAUUAAGAGAGAGGAUGUGAUUUCAUGAGUGAUAUAAUCAACUGGGAUCCCUGGCUUAGCCCAAUAGUAGAUGAAAAGCUUCUCUCUUCCAUAGCGAUAAGUGUGAUUUAGAGCAUUUAAUCUUCUGAAAAAAUAAUAAUGAGGUUCAAUCACAACUGUAAACAUGGUUGAAUAACUGAAGAGUUAUUUAUGAAAAUUAACAAUUUCUUGUCAUGAUAUCUUGCAUUUAUGUAGAGAACCUCUGUUUUAGUACAACAAAGGUUCACAAGUUUUGUUCUCUCAACCAACAGGUGUUGGGGGUGAAGCGGAGGCAGGUAUCCAUAGGCUCUGGUUCUAAAUCGAGAGACAAGGUGGUGAUUGUGGAGGAGGUAACUCUACAAAAUGUUUUUGAUGCUUUGGAGAAAGCGUCCAAAUGCUGCUGAUUAAAAAAAAAGAAGAGAGGUUCAGUGUGCUUUCGUUACAUGAUCUUAUACUGAACACAAGGUAUUUGGAUAGGACAACAUUCCUAGUCCACGCUGAUGUUUAAAAUACUUUGGUCUGUAGUUUUGUUUCUUCCAUCUCACACUGAAACAAUAAUCUUUUUAUUUAAAACUGUAAGUACAGAAGCUGUAGUGUUACUUAUGAAUAUAAUGACUGAUGUUCCAUGAAUAUUCAAGUUAGAUGCUAAUUUAUUCAUCUUCACCAUGGUUCUUCUAGUUCUCAUUUUUCUUUAUGAUUUCUUCCCCCUUUUUUCUUAUGGAAUUUCACUAAGAGAUCAUUAUAGCUAUACUUUUGCACGACAGGCUUGCUAAUACCUAGCGACAUGCUGUGAAAACUAUCUUAUUUUGUCCUCCAGCUUUUGAUUAUUCUGGCUGUUUAUGCCAUUAAUAAUGCUAGAUUGAAGGUUAUGGUCCGCUGUUGUUAUUACCUGAUUUUUGUGUAAUUCGCCUGUAAAUGAAAUUACUCUCUAGUGAUAAAAGGAAUGAAGUGCAGAUAUUGUGUCCUGAACAAAAGGCUAGUAUUUGUUUAUUGCAGGAGAAAGAGAAGUCUCGGCUCAUACUUGGCCAGGAAAACAUUUAUCUUAUUCACUACUGUAUAAGCAUUUUGUCAUGCACCAACUGAUCUGUUGGUUGUUCUAUUCCUCUGGAUUAUGGGAGGGAGAGGGGGAGGCUAUGUUCCUAUGUGUAGGAAGAUCUGAUGGAGAUAGUGAAACAAAGGAAGAAAUUUUUCUUUUUAACAAAAACAUAUUUAGUGGAGUAAUCUUAUUGAUUAAGAAUCAUCUAUCAGAAGUGGAGUAUCCUCAAUACAAGUUGUUGCAACUCUGAAGAAUAUAUUGCUAGUAUUUGUUGAGACUUGAGAAUAACAUUACCCAUCUAGAAACCUGGCCAGAAUAUAGGUUUCAGUUUUCCAGCCAUAAUCCCGACACAUGAGAUAAGGUGGGAAACAACUUUACAGGCAUUAACAUUAGAAGAAAAAUCAACAGGAAGCUCCCAAAUGCUGCGUAAACAUAAAGGAACUCAAUACUAAAUAGCAAUUUUAUAAAGAAAAGGAAUACAUGACCUGAAAAAUAAAAUACAAUACUGUGCAGAUGAAUCUCUUAUUCUGAACCACAAAACGCAGCUUUAUAUAGCAGUAAAAAAAGAAGUAGGACUUGGAGGGAUUGGGAUUUCGACUGUCCCCUCCAACAUCAGGAGGACCUUUUUCAUUGAAGGGCGGAGGGAUGGCUCAUCAAGAGUGCACCAAAUUCCCACUUUAACCAUCCUAUCCAACUGUUUCUUUUCGGCGACUUCUUCACCCACGAGUUUGUCCAUAUCACCGUCCUGAAAACAUUGGUAAACCCAUUGUUCGAGAACAGCUUCAUCCUCUGGAAGACUCCAAUCCACAUUCUUUCGACAACAUGUGAUCUCCAACAACAUAACUCCAAAGCUAUAAACAUCUGCUUUAACUGUCACCGGCAUAUUCCUGUGCCAUUCUGGUGCUACAUAUCCCCUCGUCCCUCUAAUUCCGGUGAAGGUUUUAGUUUGGUCUGACUUCAGCAACUUUGCCAAUCCAAAGUCAGAAACUUUGGGGCACCUGCUUUCAUCUAUUAGUAUAUUCUGAGGUUUUAUAUCACAGUGGAUGAUCUGAGUCUCGCACUCUUCAUGUAGAUAAACAAUACCCCUUGCAAUGUUGCGAGCAAUUUCCAACCUUUCAGGGAAGCAAGGUCGUUUUUCAAGUGAGAAGAGUAUGUCAGCAAGGGAGCCAUUGCUCAUGUACUCGUAUACCAGGAGCCUGUGAUGUCCAUCAUGGCAAUAGCCGAGCAGACGGACUAGGUUUCUGUGAUGUGUUUUCCCAAUGACUUUCAUCUCAUUCUGAAAUUCUCUUUCCCCUUCAGCUAGAACUUUCUCCAGUCUCUUGACAGCAACAACCUUCUGAUUACUUGAUAUUAUCCCUUUAUAUACUGUCCCAAAUGAUCCCCUGCCAAUUUCUUCCUUGAAACCACCAGUAACAUUUUCUAGCUCUGCAUAAGUGAAAGCUCGAGGAGCAAAUUCCUCAUUCAAUCCUGUACUAUCAUUACUGGGCACCUUUUUAUAUGCCAAUACAUGAUAUCUGUAAAUGAUGAUUCCGCAAAUCGCCACCAUAGCUAGCCCAAAAGCAACAAAUGAACAACUUAUUAUUAGGAUUUUCCUGCCCGUGCCAAGGUUCUUCUCGGUUAUAGGCUCUUUUCUGUCCAUGGUGGAUAUGGGUCUGCCCACCUUGACGACAGCCAAGUUCGAACUUUCUAAGUUUCUCCUCCCAAAUCUCAAAGGAAGCCUUUGCUUUCUGCAGUACUGCCCAUCAGUGAAUAAUGCUGCUUCACAGUUACAGUCUUCCAAACAGGCUUGCUUACAAUUGUCUUUAGUUGUUGAUGACAAAACGGAGUAUGAAGCAUCUUCCCACUCAGUAUUAGACAGCUCUUCCAUGGUGUAUGUGCUACUUCCAUUCUUGUCUUUGCAACUUUCAGCAUUGAAAUCCCUCUCACAGCUAGAAGUCCAAUUUCCCUGGGUAACAAACUCAAAUCCAGGAAGACAAAUACAUUCAGCUUCCUGAUCCUUCAUAACACAAUAUCCAUUAAGACCGCAUGAUCCCUUGGGUUGACACUUAUUGCUUGUGGAAGACCACACAGCUGACCAGUUUCCAUUCCGUGUCAGAUUUUGUGAAUAUAAUCUUAAAAUCCCAUCAGCAUCAAGUUUCAUCAUAUUAAUUGUUUCUUUCGUGGGAUAUCCUCCAUCUGUAAUGUUGAAUAUGUUGAAACCUGUGGAAUUGAGCAGGUAGAGAUGGCCAUCCGGAUCAAGAUUUAGGGUCACAUUAUUUCCCUCCCUAUAAGUAGGAGUUGCAAAAUAAGCAUAUGGAGCUGUAUCUGGAGUAUUGACAGGAUACUGCACAAGGUUGCCAUCAUUUUGCAUCUUGAGUCGGUAAAUACCAGUUGAGAGUUCAGUUUGUGAAACAGGAGAAAACAGCUCUGCCCCUGCUUUGAGCUGUUGAGUUGGCAAAAGGGUAUCUGUUGGGUGGUCAAAACUCUGCCAUAUAAUCUCGCGAUCAGAAUUAUAUAGCACAAAGUUGCCUGAAUCAGACAUAGAAGCUAAAGAAGCUGGCUGGGAAGCAGAAACUAUCAAAGUCUCACCCCCUUGUGCUGAUGUCAGGACAAGCCUGCCAUCACUGGUGAAGAGCAAGGUCGAAUUACUGGGGACUGGGUCAUCAUCCCUUCUAGCAGCCCACACAACAGUCUUUAGUGAAAUCCCGGAUAGAAAAACCCCUAUAGAAUAGCCGUUGCGUUGUCGGAAAAAUCCAAAAGCAUAAAGACCGGAAGGCGACAACCAUGAGGAGUUUGUGAUAGGUGUUAGAGAAGAUCCUAGGGUUAUAUUGGUCUGUAUUUGAGCUGAAGCUGUAAAAGAUAAGGCGAGAAGAAGAAAAAAGAUGAUAGAAGCCAUGGAUAGGGAUUUAGCUCUUGUGUGGUAUAGGAGUGUCAAUAUAAAGAUGUCCAUUGUUCCAGCACUCCAGUCUCUUUCUUUGGUUUCCAGCAGUCAAGCCAGGCACUCAAAACAUAAAAGUCUAGCCAUAAAAUCCACCGCGUUCCCGUACCAAUUGGUGGAAAUCCUUGCUGUUACUUUUCUGCUUUCAAAGUCAAUGCAGUCAAGUCACUGAAAAAACUCGGGAAUUACUUGGCGCUGGUCCACUUUUUCCAUCAUACUAUCCCCCAUUUGAACAGCCAUUUGCUAAUUUCAGCAGGAUUAUUCUUAGUACUAGUUUUCCGCGGCAGAUUCUUUGUCAUUUGCCAUGUACCAUUCAAUACGCUUUGAAGACACAAUCUUUAGCUUCCUGCAGACAGGUUCAACUAGUUAAGAAAUAUCGAUUGUGGUGCCAAUGCUAAUACCCUGGCAUAAUACUAGGGCAAGACAGAACAGCUUGCUUGCUUAUACUAAUGUCCCUCAUAUGCUAAAGCCUAGCUAGCAACCUCAGUUUCUAACGAAAGAGCAUCUCUACAUGUUGCGUAACUAACAUACUCGUCGUGUUAUGGAUGUUUGAAGAUGGAUUUACUCUCAAUAUGUAAAUCCUAGCUAGGUAAAUAAAUAAUCCCUUGAUCAUUAAAACUGAAAAGUGGAACUCAUUGGACCGUUGAUUUUAUGAUCAAUUCCACUGUACGACUUUAUUCAGAGUACAAUUGAGGUGGUCACGGCAAGGACUGAGUCAAGGGACAACCUAGCAUUUGCUGACCUGCUCUUCUCAGCAAAAGCUUCUUCUCUCACCAGCUUCAUGCCAUGGUUGCUGAUUGGAGGGGGUUUAUAAUUUAUUUUUUACAAAUGUGCUAUGAAAAAGAAAAAAAAUGCUAUAAUAUUAAAAAAAACGAAUUUCCUCAUAGCUAUGAUAUUUAUAAUAUUAAUGAUGUUACACUUGUGAUGAAGAUGAUGGUGAUGUAAUGGUAAUGAUGAUUAAAGUGAUUGAAAAAUAUUAUUAGUAAUAUUUCACCAUGAGUUAAUAGUUUUAUGAUGGAAAAAAGUAUUUUUUUCUAUUUCGGAUAAUUAGAAAGAAAAAUAUUUUUCUAUUGAUAAUUUAUUAGUAUAUAUAUUUCAAAUGUUUAAGAUAUAUUUCAAAUAAAUGUACCUUAACUAUGAUAAAUGAUAUAUUCUCCGUUUGUUUGCAAUUUGAUUGUAAAGGAUUCCUUUUAACAUAAUUCUGCUUGAUAUACUCCAUGUAAUUACAAACUAAUUAGCUCAUUCUGGUCUUCUCACUUCUGGCAAUUAGCCAGUUUGAUGGCGACUUGCAACAAUGUACUGUCACCAACCGUUGUGUUGGACUUCGAUUCACCAAUAAUGCCCUGCAACUGAGCUUGAGCGAAGGAAUGGACAUUUGCAUUUUAGGCAAGGAAUUGCCUUGUAGAAUAGAAGAAGAAGAAGAAGGGGAAAAAACAAGCAAAGAUCCUUGUCUCAUUAAUUCUACUCUUCGUAAAGAGCACGUUGUUUAUACUUAAGAACACAUGAAGCUUUCAUGCUAACAUUUUCUUUUCUCCUCUUUAUAUAAUUAUAUACUUUUUUUUUUUUUUUUAAUAUCUAAGAUACUGUGGGAAACAACUUUACAGGCAUUAACACUAGAAGAAAAAUCAACAGGAAGCUCCUAAAUGCUGCGUAAACAUAUAGCAAUUUUAUAAAGAAAAGGAAUACAUGACCUGAAAAAUAAAAUACAGUACUGUGCAGAUGAAUCUCUUAUUCUGAACCACAAAACGCAGCUUUAUAUAGCAGUAAUAAAAGAAGUAGGACUUGGAGGGAUUGGGAUUUCGACUGUCCCCUCCAACAUCAGGAGGACCUUUUUCAUUGAAGGGCGGAGGGAUGGCUCAUCAAGAGUGCACCAAAUUCCCACUUUAACCAUCCUAUCUAACUGUUUCUUUUCGGCGACUUCUUCACCCACGAGUUUGUCCAUAUCACCGUCCUGAAAACAUUGGUAAACCCAUUGUUCGAGAACAGCUUCAUCCUCUGGAAGACUCCAAUCCACAUUCUUUCGACAACAUGUUAUCUCCAACAACAUAACUCCAAAGCUAUAAACAUCUGCUUUAACUGUCACCGGCAUAUUCCGGUGCCAUUCUGGUGCUACAUAUCCCCUCGUCCCUCUAAUUCCUGUGAAGGUUUUAGUUUGGUCUGACUUCAGCAACUUUGCCAAUCCAAAGUCAGAAACUUUGGGGCACCUGCUUUCAUCUAUUAGUAUAUUCUGAGGUUUUAUAUCACAGUGGAUGAUCUGAGUCUCGCACUCUUCAUGUAGAUAAACAAUACCCCUUGCAAUGUUGCGAGCAAUUUCCAACCUUUCAGGGAAGCAAGGUCGUUUUUCAAGUGAGAAGAGUAUGUCAGCGAGGGAGCCAUUGCUCAUGUACUCGUAUACCAGGAGCCUGUGAUGUCCAUCAUGGCAAUAGCCGAGGAGACGGACUAGGUUUCUGUGAUGUGUUUUCCCAAUGACUUUCAUCUCAUUCUGAAAUUCUCUUUCCCCUUCAGCUAGAACUUUCUCCAGUCUCUUGACAGCAACAACCUUCUGAUUACUUGAUAUUAUCCCUUUAUAUACUGUCCCAAAUGAUCCCCUG
This 12379-nucleotide long non-coding RNA is filed under the name Populus trichocarpa (black cottonwood). RNAcentral's name for it is "long non-coding RNA (PTRI_LNC001418)". Lineage: Eukaryota; Viridiplantae; Streptophyta; Magnoliopsida; Malpighiales; Salicaceae. The record is from RNAcentral.